UGAGGAAUAUUGGUCAAUGGGCGCAAGCCUGAACCAGCCAUCCCGCGUGCAGGAAGACGGCCCUAUGGGUUGUAAACUGCUUUUCCAGGGGGAGAAUUUUUCUGUCGUGACAGGAAUUGACGGUACCCCGGGAAUAAGCAUCGGCUAACUCCGUGCCAGCAGCCGCGGUAAUACGGAGGAUGCGAGCGUUAUCCGGAUUUAUUGGGUUUAAAGGGUGCGUAGGCGGAUUGACAAGUCAGUGGUGAAAACCUGCAGCUUAACUGUAGACUUGCCGUUGAUACUGUCAGUCUUGAGUGUGGUCAAGGUAGGCGGAAUGUGUAAUGUAGCGGUGAAAUGCUUAGAUAUUACACAGAACACCGAUUGCGAAGGCAGCUUACUGGGCCAUUACUGACGCUGAUGCACGAAAGCGUGGGGA
This 415-nucleotide ribosomal RNA is filed under the name uncultured bacterium. Its description in RNAcentral is "bacterial SSU rRNA". It matches the Rfam family "Bacterial small subunit ribosomal RNA", at positions 355 to 767 of the family's 1533-position model. The record is from RNAcentral.